UAAGGUGGCUAUAGCGGAGGGGCUCCACCUCUUCCCAUUCCGAACAGAGAAGUUAAGCCCUCCUGCGCCGAUGGUACUGCAGAGCAAAAUGUGGGAGAGUAGGUCGCUGCCGACU
RNAcentral lists this ribosomal RNA (115 nucleotides) under Bacteroidota bacterium. Lineage: Bacteria; Pseudomonadati; Bacteroidota. The record is from RNAcentral. RNAcentral also lists the same sequence under 1 other name.